GCCAAAAAAAUUACGGAAAACCGAAGCUUACCGGCGGUGGUGCUCUCGGGUGCGGCGGCUCUCCGGUGAGGUUCGUGUUUUGGUGAUUCGACUCCGAUCAACCUGUAGAGAAAAGAAUGGUGAUCACGGUGAUAUAAAAAUUGAUCAAACCGAGGCCGGGAAGGGCCUCAUCGGAGGCAAAAAUCGAGGAGGGGUGCGGCGGCGCCGCU
This 209-nucleotide long non-coding RNA is filed under the name Carica papaya (papaya). RNAcentral describes it as "long non-coding RNA (CPAP_LNC012714)". Lineage: Eukaryota; Viridiplantae; Streptophyta; Magnoliopsida; Brassicales; Caricaceae. The record is from RNAcentral.